RNAcentral lists this ribosomal RNA (467 nucleotides) under uncultured bacterium. RNAcentral describes it as "bacterial SSU rRNA". It matches the Rfam family "Bacterial small subunit ribosomal RNA", at positions 328 to 793 of the family's 1533-position model. The record is from RNAcentral.
CUCGUAGACUCCUACGGGAGGCAGCAGUAAGGAAUAUUGGACAAUGGGCGCAAGCCUGAUCCAGCCAUCCCGCGUGCAGGAAGACAGCCCUAUGGGUUUUAAACUGCUUUUAGAAGGGAAGAAACGCCUACAUUUAUGUGGGUUUGACGGUACCUUCAGAAUAAGCACCGGCUAACUCCGUGCCAGCAGCCGCGGUAAUACGGAGGGUGCGAGCGUUAUCCGGAAUUACUGGGUUUAAAGGGUGCGUAGGCGGGCGAUUAAGUCAGAUGUGAAAGCCCGGGGCUCAACCUCGGAAUUGCAUUUGAAACUGGCAGACUAGAGUACUGUAGAGGGGGUAGAAUUUCAGGUGUAGCGGUGAAAUGCGUAGAGAUCUGAAGGAAUACCGGUGGCGAAGGCGGCCCCCUGGACAGAUACUGACACUCAGAUGCGAAAGCGUGGGGAGCAAACAGGAUUAGAUACCCUGGUAG